This is a non-coding RNA of Arvicanthis niloticus (Nile rat), 78 nucleotides long. The record is from RefSeq and is a predicted model, not a curated record. NCBI's taxonomy places the organism in Eukaryota, Metazoa, Chordata, Mammalia, Rodentia, Muridae.
GCUCUUCCUAUCUGCAAACACCUUUAUUACACGAGCUAUGAAGGAUGGCUUAUUUGCCUUUCUGGGCUUUGAUCUUCC